This 232-nucleotide ribosomal RNA is filed under the name Listeria monocytogenes. Its description in RNAcentral is "partial 23S ribosomal RNA". It matches the Rfam family "Bacterial large subunit ribosomal RNA", at positions 804 to 1033 of the family's 2925-position model. The record is from RNAcentral. Lineage: Bacteria; Bacillati; Bacillota; Bacilli; Caryophanales; Listeriaceae.
AUGUGGUGUGGGUAGCGGAGUAAUUCCAAUCGUACUUGGAGUUAGCUGGUUCUCUCCGAAAUUGCUUUAGGGCUAGCCUCGAGGUAUAGAGUCAUGGAGGUAGAGCUCUGUUUGGACUAGGGGCCCUUCUCGGGUUUCCGAAUUCAGAUAAACUCCGAAUGCCAUGUACUUAUACUCGGGUGUCUGACUGCGAGUGAUAAGAUCCGUAGUCGUAAGGGAAACAGCACAGACC